Molecule: ribosomal RNA, 116 nt
Filed under: Pantoea cypripedii
Lineage: Bacteria; Pseudomonadati; Pseudomonadota; Gammaproteobacteria; Enterobacterales; Erwiniaceae
Source: RNAcentral
CCUGGCGGCUGUAGCGCGGUGGUCCCACCUGACCCCAUGCCGAACUCAGAAGUGAAACGCCGUAGCGCCGAUGGUAGUNUGGGGUCUCCCCAUGCGAGAGUAGGGAACUGCCAGGC